GUGGGGAAUAUUGGACAAUGGGCGAAAGCCUGAUCCAGCCAUGCCGCGUGUGUGAAGAAGGUCUUCGGAUUGUAAAGCACUUUAAGUUGGGAGGAAGGGCAGUAAGUUAAUACCUUGCUGUUUUGACGUUACCGACAGAAUAAGCACCGGCUAACUUCGUGCCAGCAGCCGCGGUAAUACGAAGGGUGCAAGCGUUAAUCGGAAUUACUGGGCGUAAAGCGCGCGGAGGUGGUUUUGUAAGUUGGAGGUGAAAUCCCCGGGCUCAACCUGGGAACUGCCUCAAAAACUGCAUGACUGGAGUACGGGAGAGGGUAGUGGAAUUUCCUGUGUGGCGGUGAAAUGCGUAGAUAUAGGAAGGAACUCCAGUGGCGAAGGCGACUACCUGGACUGAUACUGACACUGAGGUGCGAAAGCGUGGGGAGCAAACAGGAUUAGAAACCCUUGUAGUCC
This 450-nucleotide ribosomal RNA is filed under the name uncultured bacterium. RNAcentral's name for it is "partial 16S ribosomal RNA". It matches the Rfam family "Bacterial small subunit ribosomal RNA", at positions 354 to 796 of the family's 1533-position model. The record is from RNAcentral.